AAGUACUUCUUUCAUCCGAUCCAAUUCUCACUUGGACUCGGGAGUAGGGGGCUUAUGUUGAGGGUGAUUUUAUAUUGGCUGAAGACAUAAAGCUUACGAGAAUACCUCAGGCCCCACCAUAUGUCUUGAUUUAUUUACUUCGACUACUAAUCCCAGCUUUAGCCAUUGACCCCCAAGAGGCCUCUUUAUAGCCCUAUCACGUCACCCUAUUUAAAAGUGAGAAUGGUCAUGAGUAAAGCAAAGCAAGCUCCCCACACUCAAUUUAUGGUUCCUGGUUAUCAGUUCAUGCAAUUAAUAGAUGUGGCUCUAUGUGCCAUGAGGUGACACCACUCACCC
This 336-nucleotide long non-coding RNA is filed under the name Elaeis guineensis (African oil palm). Its description in RNAcentral is "long non-coding RNA (EGUI_LNC014314)". The record is from RNAcentral. Lineage: Eukaryota; Viridiplantae; Streptophyta; Magnoliopsida; Arecales; Arecaceae.